UGUGAGGGGCAUGAGCAGUCAGGGCAGCUCCCCAGGGUUCAAUGGGCACAAACAUCUCUGCCCCAAUUCAAGUGUCUGCUCUCGUAUUCAUUAGUGGCAUGGUAUGAGUUAGCAACUCCUGAUAUCCAUACAGAAGCUUUAGGCUCUAAGCUUGUGCCAGUAGACAAAAUCGCAUCUUCGAAAACAAAAAUUCUUCUUUCGUGGCUGUAGAGCAGACCUUGGACAUAGCAAGCACAGACUUCGUACCUGCUGAAGUGGGCGCAUGGUCCCCUUGAGUUUGGCUGUGCUCAGUCUUCACCCUGGAAGAGGUUGGUGGUCACACUGCAGGCAUACAUUAAUUUUCUCCAAUCUGCUGCUAGCCCAACCGUUCAAAAAACGCUGAUAUUGUUAAAAAUGUGGGUAAAACACUUCCGUUCUUUUUUGGUAGGCUUCAUUGCUCGGCCAGCUUUCUGCGCUGCUUUCAGAGGUCGGUGCAUUUCUCUUGGUGAUGCGAGGGGAUCACGCUGGGCAACAAGAUCUGCUUGGUGGGGAGAGAGCUCUGUGUGCACCCCGGGGUCCAAGGAAAUGUUACUCAGAUCUUUCUGAAGGGUUUAUCCAUUGGUAAAACCUAACAUCAAAAAACGUCAAGCCUGGAAACAAAACAUCCUGAAUAUCCCAGGUCAGUGAAAUCUGUGGGGGAUGAUGGGAGUUUCUCUUGAACCAGGAGGCUGUGGUGGGACAGUGCUGCUCUUCUCACACCAAGAGCAGCAAGUGCCAGAGAAUCAUUCAGGUUGGAAUAGACAUCCAAGGUCCCCCAGCACAACCCCACCGUGCCCACUGCCCAUGUCUCUCAGUGCCACCUCUCCAGGGACAGUGACCCCACCACUCCCUGUGCCUGUGCCACUGCAUCACCACUCUUUUGGAGAAAGUAUUUUUCCUAAUAUCCAACCUGAGCAAAGACAGUAAGACCCAGGUGUCCUUAACAUGUCUUCUUUGCUCAAAAUCCCUUGGAUAUCUGUGCUGGUAACCACAGCGUAGAUUAUUUUGGGGGAUUCCCAGUGAAAUUCCAAAUGGUCAUUAUUCUCACAGUUAAAAUACAUUGUGGUAAUAAACUUUCAUGAGGUGGCCUCAGCUAAAACCACUGCUGCAGUUCUUCUGUCUGAGCUGACACAUCUGCAAGAAACUCCUGGGGCUGCAUUACACUUUUAAUAGAUGAAUCAGGAGAAAUCGCGGAGUUUGCUCAUGGAUGGGCACGCGGUGCAUGGGUGGUGUGGUGAAGUUGGUGCCCUGCAACUGGCUUGUUCAGCGCAAUAAAAAUAUAUUGGGUUCCCGAGAUGUUGACCAAUGGGUUUGGGAAACAGAUGAUUGAUUCCCACAGCUGAGAAACAGGGAUUGUAAUGUGUUUUGCCAGAGGAGACCAGUUUGAUGGAUGAGUUCAUUUAAGGAUUAUGCUAUAGAUAGAGCUGUUGACAGAAUAAAUUUGUUUUUAUUUUUCAUCAGUAGGUAUAACACAAAGCAGAACUAAUUGGAAGUAGUUUCCUUGUGGCAUCUGGUUGUGUUUCUUGCUUUAAGUCUUUCACACGCUGUAAAAUUACACCGAGAGCUUUUCUUCACUUCGAUUCGCUUCCCAAGUUUUCCAUCGCUGCUUUUCUAAUGGGUUCCCAGUGUGCAGGACACGGUGAGAAACAGCGAAGAGCAAAGCUGGGGGUUUCUUUCUGCCAACUGCACAAAUGUUCUGGUGCACAUCACCCACCUACCUCAGCAGGCACUGCGAGGUGUCCUCACCGCACCGCUGAUGGCAGAGCUGAACCCUGCCUGCCCUUCCAGGUAUUUUUAAUGGCAUUUUAAGCCGUGCCCUGCACUAAAUACCAUUCCCGCAUACGGCCCAAACCUGGGAGGUGGUUGUGUUUACUCGGGGAGGUGCUCUGAGGUUGAGGGAAGGUGUUGAGUUAAGAUCUGGAAAUAGCUUUUCGAGGCGGCCAGAGAACAAACCCCGGUGCUGGUUGGGGGAUUUGGCUGGCUGUGGGCUGCCCGUCACCCCCUGACUCCAGCUGGGUGCCUGCAGGGGGGGUCCCAGCCCCGUGAGCCCCCCGGCUGCUGGUGGUCCUUAUGGGGGCUGCUGGUGUGGAAAUCUGGGGUUUGUGGUUCCAACCAGCCUGGCAAAUGUGAUCUGUGGCUUUGGGCUUGGGAUUUUUGUGUAUUUUUAUGGUUUUUUUUUAAGUUUUUCUUUUCCAGUUGUGGUCAAAUAAGAGUUUUCCAGAACUGACUCACGUAGGGCCAAAGAACAGGAAUGCAGCAAGCACUGCAGAGCCUGCCAAACGAGCAGGCUAGUGGUUGCAAGGGAGAAAAUGUCCCCAGGUUCCUGCUGCUGGGUCCAAUACCUGAGGAGAGAAGUCCAUGUGAUUUCAGGAUUAUGUUUCAAGUUAAAUUCUAGCCUUCGUUUGGCCCCAGACCUGAACUUUAAGUCCUAGCCAAAACAUAAUCCAGAUUUGAAAGCCGGCUAUUGGCCUAUCUUCUGCUCAUCAUGUGUGCAGUCAUUCAACAGAAGCUGAAAUGUGUUUUCUCUGCCAAGAGCCGUUGGUUUCCAAACAACUACAUCAGCGCAGUGAGUGAUGGAGUUUCCAUCAACUGCUGUAGGCCAAAUUCAGUCAUCUGCAUUCAGGCCUUGGCAGGUAUAGAAACUUGGAGUUGUCACCAACUUUUAUAUAAGAUCCUACUUAAUUAUAAUUUUUUGUUCUGAGAUUUGGUUCUGUUAAAGCUUGUGGAAUGGGAGAUGAGUGGGAGCUUUCUUCCUUUUUGCUAGUGAGAUUUUCUGUUCUUUAAUUGACCUUUACAAUAAUUUAGUCUAAGCUUGGAUCUGGGUUAAAUAUAGCUGGUUAUUUUCACCCCGAGCAUGUAAUACACGAAAGAACCUAGGUAUCCUUUGAAUGUGUUUUGACAAGCACUAUGUCUGUGUGCAGGUAUGUAUUUAUAAACAUUUGCGCUGGGUGCACUAAAAUGCCACUUCCAAAACCAAGAACUUUCUCUCCUGCAGCAAAAUAUUUGUGCAGAAUGGAGUGUUAGGUGUCCAAAACCUGGGAAGUCCAAAGAGAGAAAGGCACUUCUUGGAAAGAAGCUACAGAGGAGGGGACCUGGGCUGAGCUCUCAGUGGCUGCGAAGUGAAUACGGGGCCACUAUUCACUCUGUCAUGUUAUAAAAGCACACGUAGAUGAUGCCUGAAGGCAUUGCCCAACAGCAAGCUUAAAGCAAGCAAGAGGAAGGCCUUUCCCAUCAGGCCCAGGGCACUGCAGAGCACCUUGCUGCUGAAUGUUGUGGUGCCUAAAGCUUUCGAAGGGCAGGACUAACUAAACUCACCAGGAACAGAACAAGCAGCGCCUGUUCCCUCCUUCCAGAAGUGCAGAUCCCAAUGUCUACCUUCAUGUGACUAAGAUCCCAAAAGCUUCCUGCCAAACCAGUGUAAGGAGGACUCAUGAAUACCAGUUGCCAGCAAAGCCAAGCCUCGGCAUUUUGAAUGCAUUGACUAAAGCAGUGCCAUGAGUUCUGGGGACAGACUUGCAGCCUAGGUGAGGUCCUCGCUCCAGUGAUGCUCACUGUCCUGCAGGUCGCACUGUUGGAGAGUUUGUUGGAGCAGAUACUGCUUCUGACAGCACUGCAUGCAGAUAUGUACCUUGGUGGUGUUAAAAUGGGGGGACUAGAGCUUGGCAGGGAGACUGAGAUAUUAUUGCCAGUUCAGCAGACUGGGUGCUAUAAUAAAACCUGAGAUUAGCUGGUGAGACGCUAGACAUGGUCAUGCUCGUACAAUCCUGUAGUUUGUAGGAAUAGAGCCAGAUUCCUGUAAGAGAGUGAGUCCACUGCUGGUACUCACCACUUCUGGUGGCUUUGGAGACACCAGGAAACCACCUGGGCAGCAGCAUGUCAAUGCUCAGGGCAUAUUUGCAUGCUGUGUGAAGGUAAUUAUUUGGAACCAGGUCUUCACUUGAGACCCCCCCCCUGGGGGAAAGAAUUACCACCACCAGCAACAAAACACCCCGCACUAAAACCCAUUGAGCCUAAUCCACAAGAUGAAAAACUGCCUGAGGGAACUCUGUGAGUGCCACACGGUGGGUGAAUCUUCUGCUGCUGGAAGAGCAGCUUGGUUUGUGUGAGUGGUGCAGGGCCAGGGCUGAGGGCUUUCUCACUCCUGUAGGAACCAGCACAGGGUAGGGGAGAUGCCUGCUCAGGGAGCAGCUCCUCGUGGGCUGCCCUGCCACCUUCUUGAGAAGGAGCAGCUAGGAAAGAUCUUGAGACUGUGAGCAGAAUCAGGCUGAAGGGAACUUUGCAUUCCCACAUUCCUCUCUCUGCCUUUCAUGGCUCAGAUAUCCAGCUUCAUCUCCUGCUUGGUUCUGGAGCGAGGCCCCGUCUUCGCUUGUUCGAGGGGAGUGCCCAAAGCGAUGGCCUCUCUGCGGAGCGCCAGGACUUCCACUGCUCUCACCCUUCCUAUGCCAGCAGGGUGACACACUGCAAGAAUAACAUCACUCGUCUCCAGAAGCCACCACAGCAGCGAGGGAAGGCGGGUGUAGGGCGCGAAUCCUUCGGGAGGGAAUGAGAUGGAAGGAUCAGAUCCAAACGACCUGUUCUCAGGCAGUAAAACAUGACCUCUGCUCAUUUCGUCUGACAGCCUAUGAUCAGGGAUGUCAAAUUCCCUCCUCCUAUAACUGCUGCCACCGCUUUUCAUGGGGUGGAAAGCCCCAUUAGCUCAGGUUCACCAGUGCCAUUUGGCAGCUGUGAUGAUUUACAGCAGAAAAGACUCAUUGUCUACAACUGUCAAGGCAGGUUCUCCGACUUCAUUUGAAAUAGUUUUACUCCCGCAGUUGAUUUAUCGCUCAAGAAUGAGGCAGUCACUUUAUCUCUCUUUUCUUCCCCGUUUGCCCGUGACAGCCUGGACCCCAGCACCAGAGCCGUGACGUCAAGAGGAUGAGAUGAAAGCCACCCCAUUUUUCACGAGCCCUCACGGGCAGCUUGUAAGCAGAUGACUGCGUGGCCAAUCGCUGUGUCCAUGUUGCUGGCACCUCCAGCAUUUUAUGUGGUGUCUGAACCUCAGCAGGCACCUCACGCCUGCUAAUGGCUUUGCUAGUCAGCCGAUCAAUUGGUUAUUUACGGCAGGCGUGUCUCAAAUCUGCCAGGUCAAGUUUUCCUACCCUGACGUAUUUUGUUCAGAGGAGCACAUAAAUCCUAACCUGCCAUUUGCAGCUUCAGCCUUCGGAGUGUGAAACCAGCGGGUUAAAGUUUCCAGUGAUAGUAGCAAACGGUGUUUUAAAGAGUCGUCCUCCUGACUCUUAGGGACUUGGGCACUUAGGCUGAGUCAUGAGUCAGGUGGUCUUGAAGGAUUUAUGGGCAUGAAGCUCUCUUUUUGGUAGCGUUUAGCCCUGAAGUUUGAAGUCAUAAACGUGGAAAUUGAGACCUCUCCACUGAUCCAGUAUUUUUCUAUUUAAGGUGUUCUGAAAAUAGAGUAGCAAUAUCUUCAUUGGGUACUCUGAAGUGAGCAGCAAGAAGAGGUGCAGAAGGCCAUUACUUGAAGAGUUUGGUCCUGCAGCUCCAAACUUCAUAAGCCCAUGCGUGGGAGGAUGAAGCACUUGUGUAAAGAGAGCUCUGGAUCUCAUUAUCAAGCCUGUAAUGCUCCAGUUAUUUGCAGCUGCAUAUGCCUGGGUGCUACAGGAAUACAAUUUGAAGUUAACCAGAAGACUUUCCAGUCUUGAAGUUUUGAAUGCGAACCACCAAGGAGCAGCUGUGGAUAGAGGCACCCACUCUGCACUAAGGGCACUGCAGUCAAUGAUGAGGCAUGGAGCAGUUCCUGGGCACACCAUCUAGCUCUCAGAGGUGCGUGGACCUGCUGAGCAGCGAUGGGCCUGUUGUAAAGCAUGACCUGGGUGACAACAGCCCUGUAGUUGCCACAUGAUGGACUUGCAUGCAUUCAUUUUGAUCUGUGCUCUGGAAAUGACGAAGGUCUGCAUUCUUCAUGGCAUUGAGAAGGACUUCUGCAGGCAAGAGGAAUGAUCACCACUGCAGGUGACUCAGUAUUUGCGAGGUAUCGUGGCGUUCUCCUGUUUACAAAUGGCGACCACUUAAACUCGGACAGUUUUUAAGGCACGGGCAUUUGAGAGCACACACCGAAACCAAUGGGAAAAUACAAACACUGGAGUGUUAACCCUUGAGUGGCCUCUGAAACAGCCGCACAGGGAACGCGGAGCUUGAAAAACUUCUUUCUGUGGCACUUCUGUGGGUGGUUUGAUGAGUAUUUGCAAAGAGUGGUGAUGCACGGACGCGUGCACACAUUUAGAGCUCUGUAGUCACGGCAGGCACCUGGGCAGGUGCUGGCAAACGGAGGCUCCUUGGCUGUGAUGUUUUGUUAUCAGCUCCACGGCCGUGCGGGGAACGGCACCGUGUGUGGUGGAAGAUUUGAAAAUGAUUUUCAUCAGCCUGAUUAAAUACUUAUUACGUGAGUCAGCCAUACGGGCUUCAUUAAGCCGGUGAACUCGGAGGAGCCUCCUCAUCUGUUGAUGAAAGCCAUCUGGAACCACGGGUCGCUCAGAAGAAAUAGGAUGGAUGUAGCGCAGUGUGACAGAAGCUGAGCUCCCCUGGCAGAAGCUUCACGAACCCAACGUGCUCUCCUCUUUCUGUGCAUUUCUGGGCAAAGAAUCAAGGCCUGACAUGACUUAGGCAGCAGGACUUGAAACGCGCCCUGUCGGGAUGUGACGCAGGCACCUUUUUCUGGUGGCAGGAUGUAACACAGCUUUAAAAAUACAGGCGUGAGCUUGUGCACGGGAGGGAAGUGCACCUUGAAAGGAAAAGCUUAAUGAACUUUAACCGGCCUUUCAAGAUCUUUAUUAGUUGCCCCUUUAUCAAAUUAAAUUCACACUGUGCUAGGCAGCUUAAGUGCUGCAAGCUGAUGUCGUGUGCUAAGUGCCAAAGCAGGCUUUAAUUGGCUGUUUAAAGGAGGAGGGGGGUCCCGCUGUGCAGCACGUGCACGUGUGCACUCACAGGGAGCAGGGCAGCCCCGAAGGAGCCUGGUGCACAUCCCCAUAGCAUCACAGGGUGCCCUGAAUUGGGACGGACCCUCAGGGGUCAUUGAGUCAAACCACCCAGGACUGCCUGAACUUCAUGUUUCUGAGAACUCUCCCUGAGCUCUGGCACUUGGGGCCAUGCCCACUGCCCUGGGCAGCCUGUUCCAUGCCCACCACCCUCCAGGGCAGAGCAUCUCACAUUUGGGGUGGGGUGCUCGCUCCAAAAUGUCACCCGUGGAGGUAGCCAGAGGUGGCUGCUCCAGGGCAGCUUCCCCGAGCGAGGCUGGGGAGCCUGCUGGUGAACCAGGCAGGGCUCUCAUCAGGAUUUUCUGUAUUGGUCACAGCUCGGUUUCACAGAUCACAAAUUAGUCACAGAUGUCAGCACGAGUAUCCAGAGCAGUAAAGGUCAGGCGAAGACGAGCAGGUCGCUUGUCCUCCAGGAGAAUUUUGAUCUUAAAAAUGCACUCCAGGGGCACCAGCAGAGACUGUAGAGUGGAGAUGACGGAGCUCUGCCGAUAGCAUGGGGAGCCCUCCUGGGCAGGCGGGGGCAAAUCCCACCAGGAUGGCCCGGAUGGGACCACGCAGAGCAGCUGCCCACACGGCGAGCCGCUCUGACCCUGCCAAAAAGGAAUGGAGAUUGAAUCACAGCAGUGUUUCUCACUCCUGCAGCGUAAUGAGGGUGAGAACGGUGCUGGAACUUGCUAAAUUUGAACAGUUGUUUUCUGUUAACACACGACCUUAAAAAACACGAUUUGAGAAGCUUGUUAGGGAGCGAAUGUUAACAUCUCAUCCCAGUGCAAUUGAGUCCAUCUGGGCUGCAAGUUGCCCGCUCUUUGUGUGGCGGCAUCCUCCCAACCUGCUCCUCUUCCUCACAUCAUGCUCAGCUUUAAAUCCACCUGGCCUGGGGAAAAGGGUCCAGAAAUCAGUGCUCUGAAGGCUGGGCAGCGAGCCCUCAGCCUGUCCUCCACAAGGCCCUGUGUUAGGGGGGCAAUGGCUUUUGAGCAUCUCUCUGCUCCCAGGACACAUUGGUGGGGCUGGGAGAGUUUUGCAGUGUGCCAGCAGCACCAUGGACCACAAAACCUUUUUUUUUUUCCCAUCUUCAUUAUGAAAGCAAGAAGUAUUUGUCCUCUGCCAAAAAGCCUUGAGGCAGAUCUGCCACAGAAUCAUUAAGGUUGGAAAAGACCUCUUAGAUCAUCUAGUCUAGCCAUCAACCUACCACCAGCAUUGCCUGCUUCCUCUCCCUCUCUCUUCACCUUCCCUUGCUUCCAGCACCAGCCCUUCCCUGCUUGCCUCCCAGCUCCUUCCCUAAUCCCUUCCCUCUCUUACCUUCUCCCUGCCUCCUCUCCCUCCUCUGGGGGCUGCCUGUCUCCUCUCUGCACCUCGCAGUUGAUUUUAUCUGCCCCCAGAGGAUGGUUUUCAUGUGGCACCAGGCAGCACAGAGGCAUGGAGGCUUCCGGCCCGCGCACCAACCCACGUUCCGACAUUAAAGAUAACGGAUACAAUGGGAAAUCAGUGGAGAAUAUGUAACUUUAUCCCAUUCAUAGCUUCAUAUUGCGUUACACUGUGGCCUUCGGGUGCAUAAAAGUGAUAUAUGGCUGACCUUGGCAGAAAAAGAGAACAGGGGAAACAAAUAUCUUCGGUAAGGAUCACAAACUACGUAUAACCAAA
Molecule: long non-coding RNA, 8687 nt
Organism: Numida meleagris (helmeted guineafowl)
Lineage: Eukaryota; Metazoa; Chordata; Aves; Galliformes; Numididae
Exons: 3
Source: RefSeq, a predicted model, not a curated record